This 301-nucleotide long non-coding RNA is filed under the name Brassica napus (rape). RNAcentral's name for it is "long non-coding RNA (BNAP_LNC015462)". Lineage: Eukaryota; Viridiplantae; Streptophyta; Magnoliopsida; Brassicales; Brassicaceae. The record is from RNAcentral.
AGGAGAGGGUUCUUAAUAGAGUUCAGGUCGAGAAACACCAGAUGAUCAGUGCUCAGGGAACCAUUGAUAUGAAUGGACGGCUUCGUAAUAAGAUCUUUAAUGUCCGAUGAUAUGCUAACUUGCUAAGGUUUAAAGCUUGUAAUAACGACAUCACUGCCUCCUCGGGAUGCAUCAUAGGUUUCUCUAUAACAGUCUGAAUAUUUUUUGGAGAAGAAAUUGUGUCUAUUAGAACAUGAUCAAUGGUAUAUACCACAAUAGAGUCUAUUAAAUAACUUUUAUUAAUAAAAUAAUUAAAAUUUAU